This 218-nucleotide long non-coding RNA is filed under the name Elaeis guineensis (African oil palm). Its description in RNAcentral is "long non-coding RNA (EGUI_LNC012260)". The record is from RNAcentral. Lineage: Eukaryota; Viridiplantae; Streptophyta; Magnoliopsida; Arecales; Arecaceae.
AGAAAAGUAAUCACAAGACUUUUCUGCUCCAAAUCUUUGUCAUGACCCUCAAAGGUAAGAUAAGCAUAGAACUCGUAAGGAAAUUUGAACUGGUAUUGGUCCGAAAGAAAUAGGCCAAGGCCCCGACUGUCGAUCCUUUAGCUCCAGUGGAUGGCUAUACCCAAGCUCUAGCCAUUAGAUCAACUUCUGCUGCAAUGAGGGAUGAAAAUCUCCCCCUA